Long non-coding RNA from Rhagoletis pomonella (apple maggot), 285 nucleotides. RefSeq lists it as uncharacterized. The record is from RefSeq and is a predicted model, not a curated record. Lineage: Eukaryota; Metazoa; Arthropoda; Insecta; Diptera; Tephritidae. The transcript is spliced from 3 exons.
AUGAUUAAAAUUUUAAUUGAUUUUACAGUUACAAAGCUCUGCUGUGUACAAACAUACGAAUUUAGAAUUUUGUGGCCUCAACGAACACAAAGGAGUCUUCCAAAGUAGGAGUCGCUCCAGACACAAUUUUAGAUUCACACUAUAUUUUUCUGUGUCAGCAAGGAAUAUAAAAAAUAAGGGGAUGUCAUAUUAGUAAAUCAUGUGUAAAGAAGGUAAAUUCACUUUACACAUUAUGGUCGAGCACUUCCACUUUCCAAAUUCCACCAAGCUUCGCAGUAUUCAGGC